ACGGGGUGACAUGGGCUGACACAGGGUGACACGAGGUGACACGAGGUGACACGGGUGACAGUCGCACCGUGGCUGCGGGUGUCAUUGGGGUGACACGGGGUGGCAUUGAGGUGACAUGGGGUGACACAAGGUGACACGGGUGACAGUCGCACCGUGGCUGCGGGUGUCAUUGGGGUGACACGGGGUGGCAUUGAGGUGACA
Molecule: long non-coding RNA, 201 nt
Filed under: Numida meleagris (helmeted guineafowl)
Lineage: Eukaryota; Metazoa; Chordata; Aves; Galliformes; Numididae
Description: lncRNA (ENSNMEG00000003920.1)
Source: RNAcentral